UUGGAGGGCAAGUCUGGUGCCCGCAGCCGCGGUAAUUCCAGCUCCAAUAGCGUAUAUUAAAGUUGUUGCAGUUAAAAAGCUCGUAGUUGAAUUUCGGGAUCAGUACGCUGGUCGUGCCUUUGGUAUGUACUGGUGUCACUGAUUCCUCCCUUCUGAAGAACCGUUAUGCCAUUUAUUUGGUGUGGCGGGAAAUCAGGACUGUUACUUUGAAAAAAUUAGAGUGUUUAAAGCAGGCUCGCGCUUGAAUACAUUAGCAUGGAAUAAUGAAAUAGGACGUUUGAUCUUAUUUUGUUGGUUUCUAGGAUCGACGUAAUGAUUAAUAGGGAUAGUUGGGGGCAUUAGUAUUCAAUUGUCAGAGGUGAAAUUCUUGGAUUUAUUGAAGACUAACUACUGCGAAAGCAUUUGCCAAGGAUGUUUUCAUUAAUCAAGAACGAAAGUUAGGGGAUCGAAGACGAUCAGAUACCGUCGUAGUCUUAACCAUAAACUAUGCCGACUAGGGAUCGGAUGAUGUUAAUUUUUUAAUGACUCAUUCGGCGCCUUACGGGAAACCAAAGUGUUUGGGUUC
Molecule: ribosomal RNA, 565 nt
Filed under: uncultured Glomeromycotina
Lineage: Eukaryota; Fungi; Glomeromycota
Description: SSU rRNA
Rfam family: Eukaryotic small subunit ribosomal RNA
Source: RNAcentral